AUAAUUAAAUCUCUUGAUGCUUUAUUAUAGAACAAGAAAUUAAUCCUUUUGGAGGAGAGGUGCUAUGGGGAUUAACGAUAAAAAGUCUAUACCUGGCAUCCCUUUAUGACAGAGGCUAUAGGCGGAAAGAGAUUGAAUUUUAAGAAGAUGGAAAAGGGAAAAAGAAAACUAGUGAUAAUAAGCAAGAAUGUUAUGCCCUUGCCUUGAGCAGUUGCUUUGAUCUUUGAAGCAAUACUCACCAGUUUGGCAGAAUUAAUUAUACCAUUAAUAGACUUUUUAAAACUUUUGAGGAUAUUUGACUAGUCUCUGAAAUUCAGAGGAUAAUUUAACAAAUCUUUAAAGCCAACAUUGCUUUAUUUUAGCUAAAGUCACUUCAUUUGGUUAUCCAAUUCCUUAUGUGGAUGGCUGGCUGUGUUCUGAAUACACACGUGUGGGUGUGCACACAAAUUCUUUAAAUAUAUUAUAGAAAAUGAAACAUCUGAUGCAUAGAAGUGAGUGAAGUUGAUUUGUAUGUUUAGAGUUCUGCCUUUGGUCAGAAUGUUACUCCAUGGGUUCUUUACAUUGACUGCUUGAUACAGUAUAUCCAAGAUGCCCAGGGGAGUACAAAGAGUAAGAGAGUCCCAUGUCCAGUAUGUUUGCAGUUUGGUGUUAAUGGGGAAGGGGUUGGGGGAUCGUGGUUAAAACUGUAUAAACUGUUAAUUCCAUGAGGAUUUUGAUAGAAAUAGGCAGGAAUAUCUGGUCUUAUCUAAGAAGGCCUGAGAGUACCAGUAAAGGGCUGAAGAGAAGCUAGGCCUUGGUGACUCAUAGGCGUUCACCUCGGCAAAAGGGACCAGGCAUUUUAGGUUGAGAGAAGGUGCACUGUUUGUGAAGUUAGGGCCAAACCCCAUACCCCAACACACACAUAUCUCAUUUUAUUGGACUUUGCAUUUAGCAGGUAUCUUUUUUUUUUUUUUACAAAUUAAAGGUUUGUGGCAACCUUGGGUCAAGCAGUCUUUGGGAGACAUUUUUCUAAUUGCAUUUGCUUACUCUUGUCACAUUUUGGUAAUUCUCACAGUAUUUUAAACUUUUUCAUUGUAUUUGUUAUUGUGAUCUGUGAUCAGUGAUAACUCACUGAACUCUCAUAUAAUGGUUGGCAUUUUUUAGAAAUAUUUUCAAAACCGAGGUAUGUUUUUAUUUUUUUCAGACAAUGCAAUUGCUCAUUUAAUAGACUACAGUGUAGUGUAAAUGGGACUUUUAUAUGCACUGGGAAAACAGAAAAAGUAUGUCACUUUAUUGGUGGUGGUCUGAGACUGAACUCCUCCAUGUCUCUGAGGUAUACUUGUACAUUUUACCUGGGGGAAAAAAGUUACAUGACUGUAGGAAAUAUCUGGAACUUGGUCAGCAGGUUGUCUCACUCAUCUCUUGGAUCAAUGAAGUAAGAAUUUCUCCUUUACAAAGGACAGUUUUAAGAAUGUUUUAAAACAGAGAUUAAGUCUUAUCUAAAAAGAUGAAAGUCUGAGGUGGUUCUGAGAUAAUUUUUAGGACAAAUUAGCUGUUGUAGAAUCUUGUAAAUACUGUAAUAUGAAAACAUAGUUUAUAGUUGUGGUCUUUGCUAGUGAAGUGUAGAAUGAAUUCAUGAUGUUUUCAGUAUGCAAAGGUACUCAAAUAGAAUAUCCACAUAACCAUAAUGCCUCCUGCAUGUCUGUUAUAUCCCAGGCAAUGCUGACUUUAUGUGAUCCUCAGAACAAACCUAUGAGGUUUGUAUCCCUUUUUCACCAAGGAAACUUGCAUAGAGUAACUUGCUCAAGUUGCCUCAGCUAAAUAUGUGGCAGAGCAGGGAUUGUGCCCAGGUCUCUGGUUCAAGAAUGCUUGCUGCUAACCCCUCCUCUCACACCUGGCAUGUAAUUAGACAUACAUGGGUGAUUAAAAAAAAAAACUUCAAGAGGUGUAUUGUCUUCAGACUUUAUAGUACUCUGGCUACUCAAUACUCUGUAAUGAGUUAUAUUUAAUGUGCUCAGACAGAUUUGUAAAAUUAUUAUUUGACCCUAAACAGAAUGAGCAGUGUACCUCAAAUUCACUUAAUUAGCUGUGCCUUCUGCUUCAUCUACCUUUUUGUUGGGUUUUCAUGGUAAUUUAAGUUUUGCAUAAACAUGUACUAAAUUUGCCAUGGGCAAAACGAAGGCUUUCCCAGCUUUAGUCUGAACAUGGAAGGAGGUAUGGGGAAAUAAGAACAGAAAUAUUUUUGUUUUUUAAAUGUUUAUUUGCAAGACAUAAUACCAGGCUUGCAGAGUUUAUUUACUUCCAGGGAAAGGUGAGUGCAUUUUUGUCCUACCAAGAAAAUAAUUUAUUCAAUAUUUUUAGUUACACAUAGUAGUGAAGAUUUAAAAAUUUUAUCAUUUUGUAACAACGUUUCUUGCCGAGUCUUUCUGCCUCUGUAUGAGCAGCUCUUUCAAGGAGGAGUUUACCCUGGUUCAGUUUUUGCUCUGCUUGUUGUCUGCAUGUUCUCCUUCAGAAACACAACCUUCACUCAGGACUUCCUGAGGUACUGUGGAUAACAAAAAUGGACAUGGAUUGUCCUUUUAUGAGAGACAAGGAGAAAACAAUGCCAAGAGAGAGUAGAAGGUGAUCAGCUCAUCACUAGAAUCUCUGGAGAAUAAAAAUAAAGUGGCUCAAGAACAUACUUCAGUGCUCUUCCAUGAAUUGAUCAUCAUUUCUAAACCAGACUUUUAAAAGGAUAGAAUGAUCACCAUGUUGUGUAUGAUAAUGGCAAUAAAGUGUAUUUUUUUAACCAUGAAAA
Manis pentadactyla (Chinese pangolin) is the source of this 2776-nucleotide long non-coding RNA. RefSeq lists it as uncharacterized. The record is from RefSeq and is a predicted model, not a curated record. NCBI's taxonomy places the organism in Eukaryota, Metazoa, Chordata, Mammalia, Pholidota, Manidae. The transcript is spliced from 2 exons.